GCGGCGCCCCAAGGCCCCUCAGACCCCGCGUUGCCAGCCACCCUCUUGAGUCCAGCCUCCUCGUGCCACCGGCAGGUGAAAUUGUUUCAGUUUUCUGUGCUCCGUGGGUUUCUAAGUCCUUGCCCACGCACUUGGUGCUGCCACCGGCCGACCCCCGGGAGAACAACCCCGCUGCGGGUAUGGAGUUCUCUCCGCGCCCGGGCGAGGUCUCCCCGCUCCAGAGAUCACGGCAGGAUGUGCCUUGCUGUGAGCAGGACAAAUUCCAAACGCAACUCCUAGAAAUGGAAACGCCAUAUGCCCGUCCGCGCUGUCAGCCACCCACGUGAUUUCUGGGGUUCAGAAAGCGUGAGACUGGAAGUGAGCACUGGACUUCGUCUUACCCCUUGCCCUCAGACUCCAGGGUCCGCCUGGGCAGUGCCGGCAGGUGCUAAGAGAAGUCCAGCCAUAAUGCGAUUGGAGCCAGGAAGGAAGGAAGGGUGAUGCAUGGUUGUAUUUGAGGAGGAACAAGCUGCCAUGGCCUGGACCUCCUCAUUGACCCGGGUCGUCGUGUGAGACAGGAAGUGGAGCAGGCUCCCCGAGGCCGGAGCCCCGGCGGACGCCGGACAGAGCGUCACCCGUUCCGGGAGGACCGAGCGUUUCUCCUGGAGGCGGCGGCCGCCCAGCGCGCGAUCUGUCGGACUGCAGCCAGCGAGGCCCCAGCGUCAUCAGAGACCGCGGCCCCGGGAGACCAGCCGCAGAACUGGGAGCGCCGGUCUCUGGGCCACAGAGCAAGGGCUCAACAGAUGUUUGGCCCGGUAGAGGGAAGAUUCCGGAAGAGGUGACGUGGGCUGGUGGGAGUCCCAGUUGCCUUGGAAAAGGAGGAAGUGACUUUCCGUGCCCAUGAGAAGGAUACC
Molecule: long non-coding RNA, 893 nt
Filed under: Suricata suricatta (meerkat)
Lineage: Eukaryota; Metazoa; Chordata; Mammalia; Carnivora; Herpestidae
Description: lncRNA (ENSSSUG00005006365.1)
Source: RNAcentral